Long non-coding RNA from Triplophysa dalaica, 1132 nucleotides. RefSeq lists it as uncharacterized. NCBI's taxonomy places the organism in Eukaryota, Metazoa, Chordata, Actinopteri, Cypriniformes, Nemacheilidae. The transcript has 4 exons. The record is from RefSeq and is a predicted model, not a curated record.
CUGUUCUCAUCAUGAAGAUUUCACAAACCAGGAUCCUUCACCUGAAUCUCUGCGUCUUUCUUACUUUACUGACUCAUGCAGAUUCUGAUUCCAGUGUUGCAAAGAUUCAUCAUCAUGUCUACACAACUGUCUAUGAAGGAGACACAGUGACACUUCACUGCAACACAACUCCUCAGAAUGAAGAUAUCACAUGGAAAAUGAACAACACUGUUAUUUUUAGUGUCGACUCAUUUUAUAACAGAAAUAUGACAAACUUUACUUCAGAUAGGAUGUAUAUCAGUCCAGCAGAUCCAACUGAACUGAAAAUAAAUCAAAUACAAACAUCUGAUGCUGGAAACUAUUCCUGUUAUAAUACUAAAACAUCAAUGAGAUGGAUAUUAACAGUCACAGGUUACUCCACAGGUUACUCAAGGAUUUCUUUGCUGGAUUUUCAUCGUUCUGAGGGUUGAUUGACUGAUAUGAGAACAGAAUUGUUUGGUUUGUUUCACAGAAAACACACCAGAGUCACUCAAGCAACUAUUACUCUACAUCCUCAUCUCAUGUGCUGGAGUUAUUAUGGUCUGUCUGAUGAUCGGCUUCAUCAUCUGCAUUUACAGGAGAAGGAAAAACAACAGAGAUGCUCAUGUUCAGAGAGCACCGGCUCAGGCAAGCAGAAUAACGCUAGCCAGGAGGAUCGUUCAGUGUAAAUCAGAGGUCAAAAGUAACGAUAGAAGAAGUUACAGCAUAUAUGCGAAUGUUUAAAAAAAUUGUGUUGUGAUCAAACUUUGUCUAAAUAUUAAGUAGUCGUGGGCAUAUACUUAUUGUUGUAUAUUUUGUAAACUGUUUGGUUUGGAUUGGAGGACCUGUUGGAUUCAUGUCUACAGCUCCGGCUGCCAAAUUCAGCAAUGGAAAACAGCUUGGUUCUUUAGGUCCGUGUGCAAACGGACCUAAAGCAAUGCAAAUUCAAAAAUGAAAAAUUGAUCCGAAAUUUCUGUUUUUAAUUUUUGGGAUGUAACUUUGUCAAUGGAUUUUUGUCCUUUUUGUUAAUUUUGCUAAAUUGUGACUCAACAAACGAUAAUUUAAAGAAAAAAAAAAUUACCGAAACUAACCAAUUUUCAUCUUUUUAACUUUUUCUUUGCAAUGUGGGCUGUAC